Molecule: long non-coding RNA, 2508 nt
Filed under: Takifugu rubripes (torafugu)
Lineage: Eukaryota; Metazoa; Chordata; Actinopteri; Tetraodontiformes; Tetraodontidae
Description: lncRNA (ENSTRUG00000031660.1)
Source: RNAcentral
AUGUUUGGCGACCCCACUCCUUCCCAAACUCAGCCACCAGGUGGAACAACUCAAUCGCGUUCUCAGCAACAGGCGUCUCAGCCAGAAUCCAAACCACAAGUCCAACAUCAAGCACAAGGCCACUCAUCCGCCUCUGUUCUUGGGGGUAUAUUGGGUGGCUUGUCCUCUUCAAAUGAAAGUCCAAGAAAAUCUUUGUUCUCUAUGUUUAGUAGUCCAGAAUCUACUCCUACUUCAGGAGCUGCUAGAAAUACAGAUUUGUCAGCCCCCAAAGGGGCCACAGUACCCAAAGAACCUGCAAAUAAACCAGUAUGUAAUGAUGCUUUAUGUUCACAACAAGGUCUCAGUUCACCAUUAGGUACUGUUCCCACUAGUAAAGAACCACCAAAAAGUUCUUUCCACCAAGGUUCUUCAGAAAUAUCAUCAACAUCUAGUAGCCACGUAUCAGUGCCUGAUGUUUCCUGUAAAAUAUCCACUGUGGUUAACAAGCCAUUUUCUGAUUCUACUGUAAACGGCGCAACUCAGGCAACAGAUGCAGAAUGUAUCGGUGACCAAAAUAAAAUAAGCUCACAAUGUUCACCCCUGAAUGUUCCUCCCUCAGAAGAAUCACAUGUUUCCAGCAUUUUACCUGGAUUAGGCCUCCAGACUCCGUCUGACGCUACAACAAAGGUUUUACCUCAAUCACUUUCUGGCCCUAGUGUGGUGGGCCCUUCAUCGGAAGUGCCUACACCUGAACCAUCAGGACCCAAGGACCCACCAAUGAAGAGUUUGUUUUCUGUAUUUGGAGGUUCUGCUAAUCAGUCCUCUCCACAGUCUGGAAGUUCUCUUUUAGGGGCAAUGUUUGGAGGUUCUUCAGCCCAACCAACAACCUCUCAAACAGGAGGAUCAUUACUAGGUGGCUUAUUUGCAGGGCCUGCUCCUCCAGCCUCUGCACCUAUGGGUGGGGGCUGUGCUCCCCAAACCGCUGGCCCUCCGUCGGGGGCAUCUUUACUCGGUGGCUUAUUUGGUGGAUCAACUACACAGGCUGCAGGAUCACAAACUGCUAGUUCUAUUUUGGGUGGUCUUUUUGGAGGUUCAGCCGCUUCAACAACUGGACCACAGCCGAGUAGUGCAAACCAACCCAAGCCCCAAACGUCGAGUUCUAUGUUUGGAAGCAUGUUGGGGGGCUCAUCUUUUCAAGCGAACAAAGAACAGACGAGAGCAGGUCUUUUGGGUGGAAUAUUCAGUGGAACACCUGUAGCUAAUGAGGUGCCGGAUAAAAGUCAAAGAACUCUUGUAUCCGUACCACCUUCAGUCCCUCUUUCAGCACCUACGUCAAGUAGUAAUGAGAACAAAACACCUGCUGACAUUACUUCAGUUGUUACUCCAGAAAAAUCCAGUGACAACUUUCAAACUGUUUCAGUUUUGGGUAGUUCUGAAAAGACUGCUGACUAUGCUGCCCAAAGCAAAGCACAAGAAGAAGCACUGCAGCAAUCUGACAGUACCAUUCCGUCAGGUAGGGAAAAUUUAUGCCAAGUGGAUGCUGCUGCCCCAGAAGAAGGUCUGUCGCCAAAGACUACAAGGGCAAGUGAUUUGUCUCAUGAUGUUCAGGCCAAAGAAUCUGACAUCAGUACACAACCUGCAUAUCCAGAGGUGAUUAGCGCUCCGCUGAAUGAAAGUAAACCUACAGUAGAGCAGGACAAACUAUCAGCAUCUUCAAUCAGUCCUACAGUUCAGGAACAACAUUUACCAGAACCAGAGAAACCUGUUAUUGACUCAUCAACAGAUGCAGUUAAGGGUUUUGUGUCCUCGCUAUUCAAACCAGCAGUUGUAUCCACUGAAGGUGCUCAGCAGCAAGAAAAUACCUCAUCCUUUGGACUUGGUGGAUCACAACCCCAGGCUGCUAACAGUCAGGCUGGUACUUCACUUCUAGGUGGCAUUUUUGGUGGAUCUAACACAGAAACAACAGCUCCACAGACGGGUGUAUCAAUACUGGGAGGCUUAUUCAAGGGUUCUGUCUCUCAGACUCCUGCUUCUAACACUGGAGGGUCACUGUUGGGUGGGAUGUUUGGAGGAGGACCUCCUGCCACGGCUUCAGGUCAACAGAGUGGUGUAUCAGUCCUCACGGGCAUGUUUGGAGGCCCUGCUUCACCUGCACAGUCUGGUGGUUCUUUACUUAGCGGAAUUUUUGGAGGAGCAUCUGUUCAGACUGAAGCAGCACAAAGUGGAUCAUCUGUACUUGGUGGUAUAGGUGGAUCUUUGUUUGGCGGUAUCGGAAAAACCUCAAAGCCAUCUGAACCGGCCCAUGUUGAGUCCAAACCUGCACACAGCCCUUGUGCAAAGCCGCAGCAAAACAACGAAAGCUCAGUACCUAAAUUAUCACCAUCCACUACAGACAUGGACACAAAUAAAUCUGUAGACAAGCAGCAGCCUAAUGAUCCAGAACAACCAAACAUCCAAACAACCAAUACGACUGUGGUGUCUGAACUUUGUCCAGAAAACAUCUUCUGUUUCAGAAAGUGCACUCUGUGA